UUGAUUCUGGCUCAGAGCGAACGCUGGCGGCAGGCUUAACACAUGCAAGUCGAACGCCCCGCAAGGGGAGUGGCAGACGGGUGAGUAACACGUGGGAACGUACCCUUUGGUUCGGAAUAACUUGGGGAAACUCAAGCUAAUACCGGAUAAGCCCUUAUGGGGAAAGGUUUACUGCCGAAGGAUCGGCCCGCGUCUGAUUAGCUAGUUGGUGAGGUAAUGGCUCACCAAGGCGACGAUCAGUAGCUGGUCUGAGAGGAUGAUCAGCCACACUGGGACUGAGACACGGCCCAGACUCCUACGGGAGGCAGCAGUGGGGAAUAUUGCACAAUGGGCGAAAGCCUGAUGCAGCAACGCCGCGUGAGGGAUGAAGGCCUUCGGGUUGUAAACCUCUUUUAGUUGGGAAGAAGCGAAAGUGACGGUACCAACAGAAAAAGCACCGGCUAACUACGUGCCAGCAGCCGCGGUAAUACGUAGGGUGCAAGCGCUGUCCGGAAUUAUUGGGCGUAAAGAGCUCGUAGGCGGUUUGUCGCGUCUGCUGUGAAAAUCCGAGGCUCAACCUCGGACCUGCAGUGGGUACGGGCAAACUAGAGUGCGGUAGGGGAGAAGGGAAUUCCUCGUGUAGCGGUGGAAUGCGCAGAUAUCAGGAGGAACACCAAUGGCGAAGGCACUUCUCUGGGCCGUAACUGACGCUGAGGAGCGAAAGCGUGGGGAGCGAACAGGAUUAGAUACCCUGGUAGUCCACGCCGUAAACGGUGGGUGCUAGUUGUGGGUCACAUUCCACGUGAUCCGUGACGCAGCUAACGCAUUAAGCACCCCGCCUGGGGAGUAC
This 829-nucleotide ribosomal RNA is filed under the name uncultured Actinomycetes bacterium. RNAcentral describes it as "bacterial SSU rRNA". It matches the Rfam family "Bacterial small subunit ribosomal RNA", at positions 13 to 883 of the family's 1533-position model. The record is from RNAcentral. Lineage: Bacteria; Bacillati; Actinomycetota; Actinomycetes.